CAGUAGCCGCGGUAAUACGUAGGGUGCGAGCGUUAAUCGGAAUUACUGGGCGUAAAGCGUGCGCAGGCGGUUUUGUAAGACAGGCGUGAAAUCCCCGGGCUCAACCUGGGAAUGGCGCUUGUGACUGCAAAGCUAGAGUGCGGCAGAGGGGGAUGGAAUUCCGCGUGUAGCAGUGAAAUGCGUAGAUAUGCGGAGGAACACCGAUGGCGAAGGCAAUCCCCUGGGCCUGCACUGACGCUCAUGCGCGAAAGCGUGGGGAGCAAACAGGAUUAGAGACCCCCGUAGUCCCUGUCUCUUAUAC
RNAcentral lists this ribosomal RNA (301 nucleotides) under uncultured bacterium. RNAcentral describes it as "partial 16S ribosomal RNA". It matches the Rfam family "Bacterial small subunit ribosomal RNA", at positions 509 to 807 of the family's 1533-position model. The record is from RNAcentral.